AUAAGAUAUAGUAGGCCAGGUUCCCAGGAAAAUGAAGCCUGAGGCCAAAGUUCAUGUACUGAAGCUUUGUUGCAUCCAAGGAAUGCAAAAGUGAGGGAACGAAGGAGUGAGUCAGGGAAAAAGGGAAAAAAGGGAGGUGAGAUAUCAAGCUGGGCUCCACUUACAUGUAAGCACAACCUCUUGCUCAGUUGUGCAGGUGGUCUUCAGAGCGGCCGUAGGAAUUACUACAUUUCAGCCCAUCUGUAAGGGCAAAGGCGACUGGUGGGGUGGAGAACAGGGGAGGACAAGAAGGAAAAUUUAUCCUCUGAUUCCCAUACCUCAAUAGUGGAAAUUUUGUUUCAAAGGGUAUUAACCCCUUGUGAUGGUUAAUUUUAUGUGUUCACUUAAAGGGUGCUUUUGGAUGAGACUAAUGUUUGAAUCAGUUACCCUCUACCAGCCUUUACACUGUAACUGCACCAUCGGCUGUCUUAGGUCUCAGGCUGGUCCACAUUGCAGAUUUUAGACUUGCCAGCCUCCAUAAUCACAUAAGCCAAUUCCCGAAAAUAAACCAGACAGUACAGGUAAGAAGAUCUCAGGUGAUGCCUUGGGAGUGGAUAAUGCAGCGGGAAAAGCCAAGACCAGGUGCUGACCUUAGAAAGGUAAAGCUGACCUUGCAGAAAAUGAGGCCAACUCUGAAACAUAGGUAGAUUCUUGGAAGAAAAUGACUUUUUACACCAUGAAGAAAACCAUUUGAGAAGGCCUUCAUGGGUCUAAAUUACAAAAGGAAGUGAUCCGUAGGGCUGAAAACAUCAACUAGAUCUGCAUUCCAUCAUGAGAUGACUGGGAGGCAGGAAACAGCUGCUGGGGCUGUGGACAGGCCUGAGGUCAGCUCUGACUUUCUGAGAGGCCAUUUCAAAGCCAUCAUCUGGACAAGAGACGACGGGUGGCCAGAUCCAGCUCUGCAUGAUUCAACUCUGUACACUAGUGAACCAUCCCUCAUGGAGAAGCUUUGUGUUCCUGGUGUUUUUUUUAUUAUGUGCUAAAUAACAGAACUUUAAAACUGCAUCUGUGAUUGUCAUGAGACAAUGCCAUCAUUUUGGAACUAAUACACAGCCAACUUUGUGCAAAUAAUACAAGGUAAAAGAAAAAGAAAAGAAAGCUGCUCUAAAGACAAAUAGACUUGAAAAAAACAAGUCAUCUUGGAAAAAAGAAGUAACCAAAGUGGCUUAAAUCUGAGGGAGGGCAAAUUGUUCAAAUUAAUUUUUUUCAACUCCAAGUUAACUCAGUCUUCCAUUUUUACUUAUGAGAAAAGAAUAGUACAUGGUGAGUAUUCUAAUAUAACCUGCUUAAUGUAAUUAUUCCUGCCAAAGCAUAAUUAACUUUGAAAUAAUCAAGCCACAGAUAGUUGUAACCUGAGUCACAGCGGGUCACUGUUACUAGAAAAGAAAGCUCUCAAUCUACAAAUAGGAACAUGAGAGUAAAAAUGUAAUUAUUAAAGGGUUUCAAGGAAAACAAGAGUAAUUUUUAAUGAAGAAAAUAUCUUAAAUGUCCUAAACAUUUCAAGAUAAGAUUCUUCUUGAGCUUAGUUAGCAGCUGGGGUCUGGCACAUUGUGGGUGAUCAGUAAUGAGCAAAGACCAGACAUUCUUUUUUGCUUCCUGAACUUGCUUCUUCUUUUUUUUUUUUUUUUUUUUGCUUUUAAUACACACACACAUACAUAUAUACAUAUCCUUGGAAUAGUCCAGAUAUAAAUCAUAUUGACUUUGAGCCAGGUACUUACCUUCACUUAAAAAAAAAAAAAA
Long non-coding RNA from Cercocebus atys (sooty mangabey), 1779 nucleotides. RefSeq lists it as uncharacterized. Lineage: Eukaryota; Metazoa; Chordata; Mammalia; Primates; Cercopithecidae. The record is from RefSeq and is a predicted model, not a curated record. The transcript is spliced from 2 exons.